RNAcentral lists this long non-coding RNA (476 nucleotides) under Elaeis guineensis (African oil palm). Its description in RNAcentral is "long non-coding RNA (EGUI_LNC062085)". Lineage: Eukaryota; Viridiplantae; Streptophyta; Magnoliopsida; Arecales; Arecaceae. The record is from RNAcentral.
CGGGAGCCGGACCUCGCCCCCGACUUCGAUUGCAGGUAGACUCCGUCCGGACUCCUACGAGAGCCGGACUUCGUCCCCAACCGAACUUCGGCCGGCGGGCCUGGACCCCCUGGCAGGCCGCAGUAACAGCCACGACCCUGCUCCACUUCCUGCGACGGAUUCCGCACGGCUCCAUCACUCCCUGGCAGGCCGCAGUAACAGCCACGACUCUGCUCCACUUUCUGCGACAGAUUCGGCGCGGCUCCACUUCCUGCGGCAGAUACCGCGCAGUUUCUCCACCCUCUGACAAGUCGCGACAACGGACGCCGCUCCACUCCCCACGACAGGCUCCACGUGGCAGGCCACAAUGAUGGCCACGAUUCCGCUCCACUAUCCUUCGUAGCAGACCCCUCCUGGCUCCGAACGGCCCACUGACAGACGGUUACAAAACGUUGCCAUCAGUCUGUUGCACCCUCCGCCUAUAAAAAGGGAACCCC